GGGAAACAGAUGGAAGGGCCAGCUCCAGGCCCUGAAAAAAUAGGUCU
Regulatory RNA element from Neotoma lepida (desert woodrat), 47 nucleotides. The record is from Rfam. NCBI's taxonomy places the organism in Eukaryota, Metazoa, Chordata, Mammalia, Rodentia, Cricetidae.